Pyrgilauda ruficollis (rufous-necked snowfinch) is the source of this 4568-nucleotide RNA transcript. It is a transcript of the gene named carnosine N-methyltransferase 1, with no coding region annotated. Lineage: Eukaryota; Metazoa; Chordata; Aves; Passeriformes; Passeridae. The record is from RefSeq and is a predicted model, not a curated record. The transcript is spliced from 5 exons.
AGGAAGCUGAUGCUCCUACUACUACAGAGAGGAAGUUAGUGUGCCAAAACCCUUUCCUAUUCCUGCUAUUUUACUUGGAUUAUUAAAUGGCUGCCCCAUCUUUAGACAGACAGAAGGCAUGGUAGUGCUCUUUAGGUUUAAAGGCUGAGGGGAUGGGCCCUUACAAAUGAGGCAGUCUUCUAUCAGUCACCUCUUCUCAAAGCACGGUGCAAAGGUGUAUGGUGGGACUUGCUGCAUGACAUGGUGUCUGCACCUGGUCAGACAAGUUUUGUCAGAUGGAGGAGGAUGUGCCCAUCAUCCAGGGCAAAGUCUCUUGUGGGAGGAAAUGUAGUAUUUAGUGACUCACUUCGUAAGGUUAGACACUUUGCUUUUCCCUCCGCAUAGUUAGUCCUUGCCCAUCCUCCGUCAUCAGGAAACAUGAUCCGUCUUCAGCCUGGUGCAGAGCGGGAAGUAGUGCCUCUUGUCAGCAGAGUGACCUCGCUGCCCCGGCUGCCUGUCAGCGGGGCCGCACGUACACCUGAGCCCAGCGCGGAGCGGCGGCCGGCGGCGGGCUGUGCUUUCAGCGCUGCGCCCGUGCCUCCUGUGCCUGCGCACCCCCGAGGAGCCCGGCAGCUGCGCGUCCUCCCCGGCACGCCCGAGGUGCGUCCGCGCCACUGCCGCCGUCGGGCGACCCCGCCGUGCCGUUCACACAGCGGGGCCGGGCACCGUGUCUCCUGCGAUGGCAGCCGGCUCGGGAGCGCGCACCGCUCUGCCAGGGGGCGGCUCCCGAUCCCUGCGGCACCGGCGCGGGAUCGCGGGUCUCCGCCUGCUGAAUGCGCAUGCGCGUGCCCGCCCCGCUCUCGCGAUACUUUCCUGGCGUUGACGGCGCGCGCCGGAAGGGCUGCGGUGCGCGCGCGCGCCGGCCGUGCCCGCGGGCGCUGGAGGGCGCGGGGCAUGUCGGCCACGUGCGCCGUGUCCCGGAAAGCGGCGCUGCCAAGGCCGCGUCCCCAGGGCGAGAGGGAGCCGCCCGCAAAGGUGAUGCGCAGGGGGCUGCGGCGAGGCAGAGAGGAGGAGCGGGAGCAGCUGCCGUGGCCGGGAGAGAGCGCGAGCGGCAUGGGCGCGGAGGCCGAGGCGGAGCGGGCGGCCCCGCUGAGCGACGAGCGGCGGAGGCGGCAGCUUUUAGAGCCGAAGGCGCUGACGACGUCGUCGGCCAGGGCGGUGGAGGAGGAGGAACGUCUGGAGCGGGAGCAUUUUCGGAGGAUCAUCAACGCUUUCCGAUAUUACGGAACGAAUAUGCAUGAACGAGUGAACAGAACAGAGAGACAGUUUAAGUCUCUCCCAGCUAACCAGCAGAGUCUUCUUCCUCAAUUUCUCCCUCACCUUGACAAGAUUCGGAAGUGCAUCGAUCAUAAUCAAGAAAUACUACAAACCAUUGUGAAUGACUGUGUUCAUAUGUUUGAAAAUAAGGAAUAUGGAGAAGAUGGAAGUGGGAAGAUUACACCAGCUUCAACAUUUGACAUGGAUAAAUUAAAGUCCACGUUGAAACAAUUUGUGAGAGACUGGAGUGAGGAGGGAAAGUCUGAGAGGGAUUCCUGCUACCAGCCAAUUAUUAGUGAAAUUAUAAAGAACUUUCCUAAAGAAAGAUGCCAUUUCUGUUGUAUUUUUGUACUUCAGGUCCUCUCCUUUACCAUUUUGAAAACUUGGGAAAUGAACUCUCCAUAGAAUUAAGCUACGAGGAUAUAAAAAAUGUUAUCCUGCAAUAUGGAUUCCAUAUAGAGGUGGAGAAAGAAUCUGUACUGUCAACUUACACUGUGAAUGAACUCUCCAUGAUGAAAUACUACUAUGAAUGUGUGUUGUUUGUGGUGAGAAAACCAGAAUAGUAGUGGUUUGAAUAGGGUAAUGAGAAAAUAAUAUUCGCUUGAAAGCUAGAAAUGAGAAUAAAAUCAUCUGGUGAUGUAUGGACACAACCUCAAAUCAGUGGUGCCUUCUUGUUCCUAAGAGGAUAUAGAUAGUGUCUAUUUUCUUAUAUCUAUUGCUAUUCAAACAUAUACUAUGCCAUGGAUAUUUGUAAUACACUUGUGAAAGAUUAAAUGUUCAUAUGCACUGUCUUUGUGCUUAGGAAUGCAUUAAAUAUAAAAGCAAAAGUGUUUUCUUGAGAACAAAAUUUAAUGUUCGCCAUAACUAGGCUAAUUCUCUGCUAAUGCUGCCUCAUUUUUCAUAGAUUUAUAGUGAUUUUUUUUCCUACUUGAUGUUAGGGGAAUGCAUGGAGGUGCUUACUGUACUAGCUGUAUCACUUUUAGAGAAGUAUUUGUAAAUGUAUACUUAAAUUAUGAAGUCUGAAAUGGUUGGGAAGUCAUAAAAUUAUUCUUGAACAGGUAAAUUAGUCAUCAGAACUGUUAGAGCAUUUCCUGUGCAACUGAAGUAAAAUAGGAUAUUAUACAAAUUCUGAUCUUUGGCUGUACCACUGUUAAAUCAAAAACCAGAACCACAGGAAAUUAGAAAUGCUACAUUGAAAGCAGAAUACAGAGUGAAGAAAAAGCGACUAUCAAAGAGAAGCAGACUGUCACAGAGCAGCAGUAUGUUACACUCCGUUGAGGAAAGCACCGGUCCUGAUUGAUCUUAGUGUUGGAACUGAAAUGUGUUAAAUGCUUUGCCUUCUUGAAAUAACACUGAUUUUGCAUCAUCUUCUUAGUGUUUAAGCCAGAACUUUUAAACUCAAUAAACACAGCUGAGUUAUCCAUGCCACAUGUAGGUAGUACAACAUAAAAAUACCUGUCAGAGCAGUGAAGUUACAUGUAAAUAUGUGCUAUAACCUAAUUACUUCCAUCUGAGCCAGGAUAUGCAGGCCAAAUAGUAGACAAUUUCCUUGUAACUUCACUUUACCCUUGUGGCUUCUUGGUUCCCCCUAUUAAUGUGGUUUUUUUCCCUAACAGAUGUGGCUUAGGUGAAUAUUUAAUCUACAAGUCAUGGUACUAUACAAGAGGCUGUCAUGUCACAUACAAUCUCAUGUCACUUUGAAGUUAUGUAAGAAAUUACAAAAACCUUAAUUAACAGUCACUACUCUGAGAUGAGGUGUCAUGUUAGGCAUUCUGUUUGCGUAAUAUAUUGAUUACCUUAAGUGCCAUUUGGAUGCAUUUUCAAAAAUAUGUUUAAAAUAUAAAACCAUUAUGAUGAGGGCUGAAUUUUUUCUUUCUUCUUUGGCUAAAAGGACACUGGUCAGUAUGUUAUUUGUUUCUGAUUAUUUUUUGUCCUGUCUUUCAUGGUGGUGUCCUAAUCACAUCUCUUUAAUAGGAUCUGUUCCUGGUUUUUCAAUUUUUCCAGUCAAGGCCAGAAAUUUGUGCCUUUAUUUCUAAAUUGAAAAUCUGCAAGGAAGAAAAACAAACUUUUUAAAAAAUAUUUUAACACUGCGUAAGAGAGCACAUGCUUGUAUGUGUUUCAGUAUUAUGUUCCUUUCAGCUCAGAAUCCUGAUUGAGAACAGAGGCUUUUGCUCUACAGAACAGAAGUUUUUAAGUUUGGCUUAAGCUACUCUUCUUUGAACUCUCUUAUUUCUAAAAGUGCAUGAACUGUCAAAGUUCUACCCUGUUCCAAGGGAGAUGUGUUUAAAGAUUAAAUGCUGAUAUUCAACAAAUAAUUCAAAAAUACAAGUCUUUGUGUGGCUAAAAGUAAAAAACCACAUGCUUUCAUUUCCACAUUGUACCACUUAAUUUUUGAGAAAAUUUGUCUUUUUUGAUUCUUUGCUUUCAUUACACUUUUCUCAUAUUAGGUAGAAUAUGAUUAGUAAUUUAGUUGAUUUUCAAGCUUCUUGAAAUAGGACAGAGGUUAGCUGAAUGUCAGUUAAGCUGAUUCUGAGUAGCAUAUCUGUCUGUAAUACUACCAAGUUACUGCCCCUUACACAGUCUGUAACAUGAAAUGUGCUGUUCUGUUUUUCAAAAAAAAAGCAGUGGAACUAUUUAUGGUUGAGUGUCAGUAUCCUGUGUGCUGGUGGUUUUUUUCAUUACCACUCCAUGUUGUCACAGGUGCCAUUUUUGUAUGUUCUCUGAAAAUAUUUUUACAUAUGGUAUAAUACAAUGAUGUGCUUUUUAUUUCUGACAUAAAAAAUGCUGGGUUUUUUUCUUUUUCCUGAGCAUUCUGCUUUUAAAUUGCAACAGUCACAUAAAGAGUUGGAAGCAAAAUAAUGUUGUGAAUGAGCUGUUAGUGUUUUAUCUUCAGUCCCAUUUAUGAGUUCUUAGAAUUUGCCACUUGUACUGUAAUGCACAGGGGUAAUUGUGCAUUAUAGAAUUUGAUCAUUGUUUUAUUCAGUUUUAUAUGCAGGGGGAAAUGCUCAAGGUGUUCGUCAGUGUCACUCUUAAACUAUACAUGGUAACAAACGUAAAAUAAAAUGCUGCAUAAUCUUCAGUGUAAAAUUUCUUUGUAUGGAGUUUGAUAAAUGUAAAACGUCCUGUAUUUUUUUUAAUGUGUUAUAUUCUAAAACUUGGUUGCCAGGAUGGUAAGAACGGGAAGUUUCAUGUCUCUAUGUGCACUUCCCACAAUUUUCAGUGUGUGUAGUGGACUGGAGUUUUUGGAUAUUAAAGCUUUCUGUAAGGCUUGA